This is a long non-coding RNA of Pipra filicauda (Wire-tailed manakin), 673 nucleotides long. RefSeq lists it as uncharacterized. The record is from RefSeq and is a predicted model, not a curated record. NCBI's taxonomy places the organism in Eukaryota, Metazoa, Chordata, Aves, Passeriformes, Pipridae. The transcript is spliced from 2 exons.
GUUACUUGUGCUUAUGUAAGGCCUGGUGGAAUACACAAAGUAGAAACCUAAGUACAGGGAUGCCUCCACAGACUUGAUGUCCUGUGAAAUCGGCUGCAGCUACACCAUCCUUUUGCAGUGCAGACAUCAAAAGGAUUGCAAUAUGCUGGAGACCUGCUAGGAAGAAACACUGCUUGCGUGUAAGCAAAGCCGGGACAACAGAGGACAGAACAGCUCUGGCUAAAGCAGGUGGCAGAGAAAGCAGGAGUCAUGCUGGAGCAGGACAUUCAUGGCCGUCCUCAUGGAUCCAGAUACUCAGCAUCUCUUGGGAUCAGGGCAUGGGCUCCUGUUUUCUUGCCAUGAAUUGAUCACACAUCCACAUCAGACAUCAAAAAUCAGUAAAUCUAAUACUGGAGAACAGAGUGGCUCAAGAAUGGAUCCUGGAUUUUCAAAAGAUGCUUCAUGUCCUGACACCUGACUUGAGACCCAUCACAAAGCCUCCUCAGCACUUCAGAAAAUGUACUACCUGAUAUAAAAUGUGCAACAGCCAAACAUCUUUAUUGCUAUAUGUUGGUUACAAUUAGAAAAUCUUUGGCAGUUGCUAUCACUUUAAUAUCUGUGUAGCUACAAAAUCUAAUCUUUUGGCAAGAAACUAAUAUGACUAAUUACAUUUUGUGAUCUGCAUUUCCCCCGA